Long non-coding RNA from Paramormyrops kingsleyae, 1169 nucleotides. RefSeq lists it as uncharacterized. The record is from RefSeq and is a predicted model, not a curated record. Lineage: Eukaryota; Metazoa; Chordata; Actinopteri; Osteoglossiformes; Mormyridae.
AACAGCUGUGAGCGCACUGGCCACGCCAGUCCGAGGGUCCCCCCCCCCUUUCGGCGGGCUCCGUGGCAGGAGGCCGGGGCGCCAAGGAGGAUAAGAGAAGCGGCGCGGUGGGAGAUGCGGCCGGGUUCGGCAGACAGACUGUUCCAUGACUGGCGGUGCUUGUCACAGGGAAGUCACCGUGAAGCCCCACCCGUGCAGCCCCACCCGUGCAGCCCCACCCGUGCAGCCACUGUCAUACACAGCAAAAUGGGAAAACAAAUAGCAUGUGGGGAAAAGCGAUGGAUCAUUAGGCUGAACCUGAAGAGAUGAAUUCCACAGCGGAUCAUCAUAAAGGAAGCACUUCGGGGGGGGGGGAUGCUACUCCCCAGCAGGAAUGACAACAUUACAGAGUAGUGCAUGGGGGACAGGUCAUACAGGUUCAGCACCAGGACGGAGUCUGCAAAGGGUCAAAAACACGAACAGACAGAAUCGACUGAGCCUGUGAAGAGGGGCAUGGAUGACAGCACAGACGCACACAGGAAGCCUCUUUCAUGUCUAAGUGGAUUUUUAUAUUUUAUUUUAUUUAUUUAUUUAUUUGAUUAAACCAUAUCGGACGUAUUUGUCAAAGCAUACUUUUGUGUGAAUGUGUUAUGGUGUUAUGAUGACCAUAUGGUGUGGUGGAACAGGAUUUUAUGGUUAAUGUAUUCAGGAAGUGUCUGUCUGGAAAGUUUAACGUUCGAUUUUUAAAUUGAGUAUCACAACGUUUUUUAAUAGCUAAAAACACACACACACAAACGAAGUAUGCGGUUAAGAUAAACACAGAGGCAGGAAGAGGUCUGUGUGUUUAGCCGGAAUCGCAUCAAUGAGGAAAAGUCAGACAAAAUUCAAAAGCAGAGAUAGUACAUUCUGUGAAGGUCAUUAAACUAUUCUGAAGUCUCUGAAUUGGUACAGAUGGUCUAAAAACCUCUCUCACAAAACUGCACUGAAAAUACGCACAAUGUUUAGGUUGCUGCAAAGAAUGUAAUGUAAACUAACCUAAACAAUGUAACACAAUAGCAGGUUUCAGUUAUUAUAACUAAAUACUGUAUGUAUUUAUGUAUAUCUAUACAUACUGUACAUGCAGCAUCCACACAGUGAUGAAUGCCCUGUUCAAAAUGACUUCACAUCACAUAAAAAAAGUUUGCAAAAAA